UAUUAGGUUGGUGCAAAAGUAAUUGCAGUUUUAACUUUUUUAAUGGCAAAACCCGCAGUGACUUUUGCACCAACCGAAUAAU
RNAcentral lists this microRNA precursor (82 nucleotides) under Chlorocebus sabaeus (green monkey). RNAcentral's name for it is "miRNA (ENSCSAG00000022072.1)". The record is from RNAcentral. Lineage: Eukaryota; Metazoa; Chordata; Mammalia; Primates; Cercopithecidae.